GGGGCCGGUUUCCGGGGAUUAUUGAGCGUAAGAGCUCGUAGGCGGUUUGUCGCGUCUGCCGUGAAAGUCCGGGGCUCAACUCCGGAUCUGCGGUGGGUACGGGCAGACUAGAGUGAUGUAGGGGAGACUGGAAUUCCUGGUGUAGCGGUGAAAUGCGCAGAUAUCAGGAGGAACACCGAUGGCGAAGGCAGGUCUCUGGGCAUUAACUGACGCUGAGGAGCGAAAGCAUGGGGAGCGAACAGGAUUAGAUACCCUGGUAGUCCAUGCCGUAAACGUUGGGCACUAGGUGUGGGGGACAUUCCACGUUUUCCGCGCCGUAGCUAACGCAUUAAGUGCCCCGCCUGGGGAGUACGGCCGCAAGGCUAAAACUCAAAGGAAUUGACGGGGGCCCGCACAAGCGGCGGAGCAUGCGGAUUAAUUCGAUGCAACGCGAAGAACCUUACCAAGGCUUGACAUGAACCGGAAAGAUCUGGAAACAGGUCCCCCACUUGUGGUCGGUUUACAGGUGGUGCAUGGUUGUCGUCAGCUCGUGUCGUGAGAUGUUGGGUUAAGUCCCGCAACGAGCGCAACCCUCGUUCUAUGUUGCCAGCACGUGAUGGUGGGGACUCAUAGGAGACUGCCGGGGUCAACUCGGAGGAAGGUGGGGACGACGUCAAAUCAUCAUGCCCCUUAUGUCUUGGGCUUCACGCAUGCUACAAUGGCCGGUACAAAGGGUUGCGAUACUGUGAGGUGGAGCUAAUCCCAAAAAGCCGGUCUCAGUUCGGAUUGGGGUCUGCAACUCGACCCCAUGAAGUCGGAGUCGCUAGUAAUCGCAGAUCAGCAACGCUGCGGUGAAUACGUUCCCGGGCCUUGUACACACCGCCCGUCAAGUCACGAAAGUUGGUAACACCCGAAGCCGGUGGCCUAACCCCUUGUGGGAGGGAGCUGUCGAAAGUGGGACUGGCGAUUGGACUAAGUCGUAACAAGGUAACC
RNAcentral lists this ribosomal RNA (972 nucleotides) under uncultured bacterium. Its description in RNAcentral is "bacterial SSU rRNA". It matches the Rfam family "Bacterial small subunit ribosomal RNA", at positions 531 to 1501 of the family's 1533-position model. The record is from RNAcentral.